Molecule: ribosomal RNA, 343 nt
Filed under: uncultured bacterium
Lineage: Bacteria
Description: bacterial SSU rRNA
Rfam family: Bacterial small subunit ribosomal RNA
Source: RNAcentral
CUAGGCUUGACAUCCCUUUGCAAAGUCCUUAACCGGGCUCCUUUUGUUCGCAAGACAAAGGUGACAGGUGGUGCAUGGUUGUCGUCAGCUCGUGUCGUGAGAUGUUGGGUUAAGUCCCGCAACGAGCGCAACCCCUAUUUUUAGUUGCCAUCAGUUAGGCUGGGCACUCUAGAAAGACUGCCGAGGACAACUCGGAGGAAGGUGGGGAUGACGUCAAAUCAUCAUGCCCCUUAUGCUUAGGGCUACACACGUGCUACAAUGGCUGUUACAAAGGGCUGCGAGACCGCGAGGUGGAGCCAAUCCCAUAAAAACAGUCUAAGUUCGGAUUGUAGGCUGAAACUCG